This 365-nucleotide ribosomal RNA is filed under the name uncultured soil bacterium. Its description in RNAcentral is "bacterial SSU rRNA". It matches the Rfam family "Bacterial small subunit ribosomal RNA", at positions 26 to 384 of the family's 1533-position model. The record is from RNAcentral.
AGAUUGAACGCUGGCGGAAUGCUUUACACAUGCAAGUCGAACGGCAGCACGGGGGCAACCCUGGUGGCGAGUGGCGAACGGGUGAGUAAUACAUCGGAACGUGCCCAGUCGUGGGGGAUAACGUACGGCGAAAGCGUAGCUAAUACCGCAUACGAUCUACGGAUGAAAGCGGGGGACUCGCAAGUAGCCUCGCGCGAUUGGAGCGGCCGAUGGCUAGAUUAGGUAGUUGGUAGGGUAAAGCUCACCAAGCCGUGCGAUCUGUAGCUGGUCUGAGAGGACGACCAGCCACACUGGGACUGACGACACGGCCAGACUCCGUACGGGAGCAGCAGGUGGGGUAAUUUGGACAAGUGGGCGACAAGCCU